RNAcentral lists this transfer RNA (86 nucleotides) under Codium arenicola. Its description in RNAcentral is "Codium sp. 'arenicola' tRNA-Leu". It matches the Rfam family "tRNA". From Rfam's summary of the family: Transfer RNA (tRNA) molecules are approximately 80 nucleotides in length. Their secondary structure includes four short double-helical elements and three loops (D, anti-codon, and T loops). The record is from RNAcentral. Lineage: Eukaryota; Viridiplantae; Chlorophyta; Ulvophyceae; Bryopsidales; Codiaceae.
GCUUUUGUGGCGAAAUUGGGUAUACGCACCAAGUUUAGGCCUUGGAAUCUUUAUUAGAUUUGUGGGUUCAAGUCCCACCAAAAGCA